UAAUCGAGUGUUUUAUGGCACUCUUUAAAAAAUCCAUAUCCACCUUGUGUGCAACGUUUUUGAACUCUCUCUGGCGUUAAAAAACCAAGAGGGUUUGAUUAACUUAACUUAACACCUUUAAAGCAGUUUGUCUGAAUAUCUAUUUCUGAAUAAACAUAAUUCAAAAAUA
Molecule: unclassified non-coding RNA, 169 nt
Filed under: uncultured fungus
Lineage: Eukaryota; Fungi
Description: sequence contains ITS1, 5.8S rRNA gene
Source: RNAcentral